AGUCGAGCGCGAAAGUAGACUUCGGUCUGCGAGUAGAGCGGCGAACGGGUGAGUAACACGUGGAUAACCUGCCUUGGAGUGGGGGACAACUCAGGGAAACUUGAGCUAAUACCGCAUACGUUCCUACGGUUUCGAUUGUAGGAAGAAAGGCGGCUCUUCGGAGCUGUCGCUCUUAGAGGGAUCCGCGGCUGAUUAGCUAGUUGGUGGGGUAACGGCCUACCAAGGCGACGAUCAGUAGCCGGCCUGAGAGGGUGAUCGGCCACACUGGAACUGAGACACGGUCCAGACUCCUACGGGAGGCAGCAGUCGGGAAUAUUGGACAAUGGGCGAAAGCCUGAUCCAGCAACGCCGCGUGGAGGACGAAGGCCUUCGGGUUGUAAACUCCUGUCAGGUGGGACGAAAAGGUAACGGUCAAUAUCCGUUGCCUCUGACGCUACCACCAGAGGAAGCCCCGGCUAACUCCGUGCCAGCAGCCGCGGUAAUACGGAGGGGGCGAGCGUUAUUCGGAAUCAUUGGGCGUAAAGGGCGCGUAGGCGGCCUGACAAGUCAGGGGUGAAAUCCCUCGGCCUAACCGAGGAACUGCCUUUGAAACUGUCAGGCUUGAGGCCGGGAGAGGGUAGUGGAAUUCCCAGUGUAGCGGUGAAAUGCGUAGAUAUUGGGGGGAACACCAGUGGCGAAGGCGGCUACCUGGACCGGUACUGACGCUGAGGCGCGAAAGCGUGGGUAGCAAACAGGAUUAGAUACCCUGGUAGUCCACGCUGUAAACGAUGAGCACUCGGUGCUGC
RNAcentral lists this ribosomal RNA (785 nucleotides) under uncultured delta proteobacterium. Its description in RNAcentral is "bacterial SSU rRNA". It matches the Rfam family "Bacterial small subunit ribosomal RNA", at positions 60 to 826 of the family's 1533-position model. Lineage: Bacteria; Deltaproteobacteria. The record is from RNAcentral.